UAAUGUAUCGGAACGUGCCCAGUCGUGGGGGAUAACUGCUCGAAAGAGCAGCUAAUACCGCAUACGACCUGAGGGUGAAAGCGGGGGAUCGCAAGACCUCGCGCGAUCGGAGCGGCCGAUAUCAGAUUAGGUAGUUGGUGAGGUAAAGGCUCACCAAGCCGACGAUCUGUAGCUGGUCUGAGAGGACGACCAGCCACACUGGGACUGAGACACGGCCCAG
RNAcentral lists this ribosomal RNA (220 nucleotides) under uncultured bacterium. Its description in RNAcentral is "partial 16S ribosomal RNA". It matches the Rfam family "Bacterial small subunit ribosomal RNA", at positions 111 to 334 of the family's 1533-position model. The record is from RNAcentral.